GACGGAGGGGGCAAGCGUUGUUCGGAAUUACUGGGCGUAAAGGGCUCGUAGGCGGCCAACUAAGUCAGACGUGAAAUCCCUCAGCUUAACUGGGGAACUGCGUCUGAUACUGGAUGGCUUGGAUUCGGGAGAGGAAUGCGGAAUUCCAGGUGUAGCGGUGAAAUGCGUAGAUAUCUGGAGGAACACCGGUGGCGAAGGCGGCAUUCUGGACCGAUAUUGACGCUGAGGAGCGAAAGCCAGGGGAGCAAACGGG
Molecule: ribosomal RNA, 253 nt
Filed under: uncultured bacterium
Lineage: Bacteria
Description: partial 16S ribosomal RNA
Rfam family: Bacterial small subunit ribosomal RNA
Source: RNAcentral